AAGUUGUUCCAGUCAAAAAGCUCGCAGUUGGACUUUGGGAUGGGCCGGACGGUCCGCCCUAGGUGUGCAUCGGUCGUCUCGUCCCUUCUGUCGGCGAUGCGCUCCUCGCCUUAAUUGGCCGGGUCGUGGCUCCGGCGUUGUUACUUUGAAGAAAUUAAAGUACGCAAAGACAGCCUACGCUCUGUAUACAUUAUCAUGGGAUAGCAUUAUAGGAUUUCGGUCCUAUUCCGGUGGCCUUCAGGAUCCGAGUAAUGAUUAACACAGAUAGUCGGGGGCAUUCGUAUUUCAUAGUCAAAGGUGAAAUUCUUGGAUUUAUGAUAGACGAACAACUGCGAAAGCAUUUGCCAAGGAUGUUUUCAUUAAUAAAGAACAAAAGUUGGGGGUUCGAAGACGAUCAGAUACCGUCCUAGUCUCAACCAUAAUAGAUGCCCACCAGGGAUCGUUGGAUGUUUCUUUUAGGACUCCGCCUGCACCUUAUGAGAAAUUAAAGUAUUUGGGUUCCG
This 503-nucleotide ribosomal RNA is filed under the name Solanum tuberosum (potato). Its description in RNAcentral is "rRNA SSU_rRNA_eukarya". It matches the Rfam family "Eukaryotic small subunit ribosomal RNA", at positions 607 to 1116 of the family's 1831-position model. The record is from RNAcentral. Lineage: Eukaryota; Viridiplantae; Streptophyta; Magnoliopsida; Solanales; Solanaceae.